UGAGUACGAGAUGCUACGGCAUCGAAGCAGUCUAUGUCAUACUUCCAAGAAAAGCUUGCAAUGUCAUAAACAAAUAAUGCCUGUACCAUAACCGACACAGGUGGGUAGGUAGAGUAUACUAAGGGGCGCGAGAUAACUCUCUCUAAGGAACUCGGCAAAAUGACUCCGUAACUUCGGGAGAAGGAGUGCCUUAUUUUUAUAAGGUUGCAAUAACAAGAUCCAAGCAACUGUUUACCAAAAACACAGGUCUCCGCUAAGUCGUAAGACGAUGUAUGGGGGCUGACGCCUGCCCAGUGCCAGAAGGUUAAAGAAGUUGGUUAGCAUUAGCGAAGCUGAUAACAGAAGCCCUGGUGAACGGCGGCCGUAACGAUAACGGUCCUAAGGUAGCGAAAUUCCUUGUCGGGUAAGUUCCGACCCGCACGAAAGGCGUAAUGAUUUGGAUACUGUCUCGGAGAGGGGCUCGGUGAAAUAGACUUGUCUGUGAAGAUGCGGACUACCUGCACCUGGACAGAAAGACCCUAUGAAGCUUUACUGUAACUUGAGAUUGAAAUUGGACUUUAUCUGCGCAGUAUAGGUGGGAGACGUUGAAAAUAUUCUUGCGGGAAUAUUGGAGUCAUCAGUGAGAUACCACUCUUAUAAUGUUAGAUUUCUAACUUUGUAUCAUUAUCUGGUCAAAGAACAGUUUCAGGCGGGCAGUUUGACUGGGGCGGUCGCCUCCCAAACGGUAACGGAGGCGCACAAAGGUUUCCUCUGAACGUGUAGAAAUCGUAUCUAGAGUGUAAAGGCAUAAGGAAGCUUGACUGUGAGACCUACAAGUCGAGCAGGGACGAAAGUCGGUCUUAGUGAUCUGACGGUGCUGAGUGGAAAGGCCGUCACUCAACGGAUAAAAGUUACUCUAAGGAUAACAGGCUGAUCUCCCCCAAGAGUUCACAUCGACGGGGAGGUUUGGCACCUCGAUGUCGGCUCAUCGCAUCCUGGGGCGGUAGUACGUCCCAAGGGUUGGGCUGUUCGCCCAUGAAAGCGGUACGCGAGCUGGGUUCAGAACGUCGUGAGACAGUUCGGUCCAUAUCCGGUGUAGGCGUUAGAAUAUUGAGAGGAGCCUUCUUUAGUACGAGAGGACCGAGAAGGACAUACCUCUGGUGUACCAGUUAUCGUGCCAACGGUAAACACUGGGUAGCCAUGUAUGGAGAGGAUAACCGCUGAAAGCAUCUAAGUGGGAAGCCCACCUCAAGAUAAG
RNAcentral lists this ribosomal RNA (1237 nucleotides) under metagenome. RNAcentral describes it as "bacterial LSU rRNA". It matches the Rfam family "Bacterial large subunit ribosomal RNA", at positions 1564 to 2808 of the family's 2925-position model. The record is from RNAcentral.